Monopterus albus (swamp eel) is the source of this 830-nucleotide long non-coding RNA. RefSeq lists it as uncharacterized. The transcript has 3 exons. The record is from RefSeq and is a predicted model, not a curated record. NCBI's taxonomy places the organism in Eukaryota, Metazoa, Chordata, Actinopteri, Synbranchiformes, Synbranchidae.
UUUGAUGACUACUAUAUUGUCCUUAAGAUGCACUAGCUGAUUUGAUCGAGAGACGACCUUUGAUGAAUGUAAAUGGUAUCUCUUCGGAAAUCAUCAUGAAGGAGUCACGGAGAGAAACAGAGAAAGGACGAAGAAGAAAAAUAAGCAAAUCCAGUUGAAAAUGCAAGACGAUUUUUGUUUAACAAUCACUGAAAAGAGAUUAGGGCGACAGCAAUGGAAGUUAAAUUGUGCUGCAUAUAAAAUGGGCGGGCUAGUGUUUAUAUUAGGCAGGCACAGCCUAGUCUAAUUUUAAACGGUCUACGCUUGGACACAGUCUAUUUGCCGUGCACUUUAUUUACAGGAACCAGUGAUGAACCAAAACAUUUGGCUAGAGAUCUGGAUACACAGAGCACAUCUGCUAGUUUAGUAGGACAUUUCUAUUGCUGGCAGACAGAGAGUUCAACUCACUACAGCACCACCAAUGAACAGUGAGAGAGACCUGCGCAUAUCGUCAGCAGCCGCUUCUCCAGCCUCGAGCUAAAAUUCGCCAGAUCUGAGAUCACAGAGGAUUUUCUCAUUCAGUUCGGCUAGAAAAUAUAUUCACAAAAGUUUGAGGAUAUAGGCAGCGGACAGCGAAUAUCCCCCGACUCAUCUGCUCAAUGAAAGGUCCUCAUAUUGCAACUAUGUGUGGAUGGAGCAGGACGGCCUUUCUGUGUCUGUGGGUUUGUUUGCUUGUCACCAACAGCGUACUGGGUGGGAAAAGCUCUGGGCAGAAUGGCAUGACAGAUGAACAGAAAGAUAACACUACAGUGUUCACCAAGAUCUUAGACAGCCUUCUGGAUGGCUAUGAC